AGUGGGGAUAGUUCUGUGUAUACAGUGAUUAAGCACAUAGGUUCUGGAGCCAGUCUGUUUCUUUCAAAAUCACCUCAUUGCUUUUGAAGAAUCAGGGGAAACCCCCAUGAGACUACAGGUGUGAAGCAAGAUAGAAGCAUCAGUGCAAAAGAGAAAGCAAUAUGUCAAUUCCUCAAAGAGCUAAAAAAGAACUACCAUUGGACUCAGCAAUCCCAUUACUGGGUAUAUACUCAGAGGAAUAUAAGUCACUCUACUAUAAACACACACGCAUGCAAAUUUUCAUUGUAGCACUAUUUACAAUAGCAAAGACAUGGAAUCAACCUAAAUGCUCAUCAAUGACAGAUCGGAUAAAGAAAAUAUGCCCACCAGAUCCUUCCCCCAACACUGAGGAUUACAAUUCAACAUGAAAUUUACCGGGGGGACAAAGAGUCAAACGGUAUCAGCUUAGUACCUGGGCAUCUUCAACCUUUCUGGACUACAGCACCUGCCAACUGACCCCCACAUCAUGGCUCCAACGCUGGCUUCAUCACAUAUCUUCUCUCUCAGUCCCUUUGGCUCUCAGGGUGCAAUAGCUUAACAAAAUUGCUGAUCUAGGUGCCUCAGCAUUGUUUCUUUGUCAUAGUCUCUGUAUUAUCUUAUUUUGAGCCAUUCUUUUCCUGCAAAGAUCCUAACUGAAUGAGAUAACUACUUCAUAAGCUAUUUGUAAGGUUUAAAUAAAUUAAUGCAUAUUUAAUACAUGAA
Molecule: long non-coding RNA, 741 nt
Filed under: Homo sapiens (human)
Lineage: Eukaryota; Metazoa; Chordata; Mammalia; Primates; Hominidae
Description: non-protein coding lnc-ZNF804B-2:6
Source: RNAcentral